Molecule: ribosomal RNA, 164 nt
Filed under: Praxelis clematidea
Lineage: Eukaryota; Viridiplantae; Streptophyta; Magnoliopsida; Asterales; Asteraceae
Description: 5.8S ribosomal RNA
Rfam family: 5.8S ribosomal RNA
About the family: 5.8S ribosomal RNA (5.8S rRNA) is a component of the large subunit of the eukaryotic ribosome. It is transcribed by RNA polymerase I as part of the 45S precursor that also contains 18S and 28S rRNA.
Source: RNAcentral
UAAACGACUCUCGGCAACGGAUAUCUCGGCUCACGCAUCGAUGAAGAACGUAGCAAAAUGCGAUACUUGGUGUGAAUUGCAGAAUCCCGUGAACCAUCGAGUUUUUGAACGCAAGUUGCGCCUGAGGCCUCCCGGCUGAGGGCACGUCUGCCUGGGCGUCACGC